Molecule: non-coding RNA, 82 nt
Organism: Eptesicus fuscus (big brown bat)
Lineage: Eukaryota; Metazoa; Chordata; Mammalia; Chiroptera; Vespertilionidae
Gene: MIR181A
Product: microRNA mir-181a
Exons: 1
Source: RefSeq, marked provisional
UGCUUCAGUGAACAUUCAACGCUGUCGGUGAGUUUGGAGUUAAAGUCAAAACCAUCGACCGUUGAUUGUACCCUAUGGCUAA